Molecule: transfer RNA, 49 nt
Filed under: Staphylococcus aureus M0006
Lineage: Bacteria; Bacillati; Bacillota; Bacilli; Caryophanales; Staphylococcaceae
Also listed under: 1 other name
Description: tRNA-Ile
Rfam family: tRNA
About the family: Transfer RNA (tRNA) molecules are approximately 80 nucleotides in length. Their secondary structure includes four short double-helical elements and three loops (D, anti-codon, and T loops).
Source: RNAcentral
GGGCCUAUAGCUCAGCUGGUUAGAGCGCACGCCUGAUAAGCGUGAGGUC